UAGUAAAGUCAGCUAAUUAAGCUCUUGGGCCCAUACCCCAAACAUGUUGGUUAAAUUCCUUCCUUUACUAA
RNAcentral lists this transfer RNA (71 nucleotides) under Etheostoma okaloosae (Okaloosa darter). Its description in RNAcentral is "tRNA-Met". It matches the Rfam family "tRNA". From Rfam's summary of the family: Transfer RNA (tRNA) molecules are approximately 80 nucleotides in length. Their secondary structure includes four short double-helical elements and three loops (D, anti-codon, and T loops). The record is from RNAcentral. Lineage: Eukaryota; Metazoa; Chordata; Actinopteri; Perciformes; Percidae.